Molecule: transfer RNA, 77 nt
Filed under: Campylobacter sp.
Lineage: Bacteria; Pseudomonadati; Campylobacterota; Epsilonproteobacteria; Campylobacterales; Campylobacteraceae
Description: tRNA-Asp
Rfam family: tRNA
About the family: Transfer RNA (tRNA) molecules are approximately 80 nucleotides in length.
Source: RNAcentral
GCGAUGGUAGUUCAGCUGGUUAGAAUGCCGCCCUGUCAAGGCGGAGGUCGUGGGUUCGAGCCCCAUCCAUCGCGCCA